This 253-nucleotide ribosomal RNA is filed under the name uncultured bacterium. RNAcentral's name for it is "partial 16S ribosomal RNA". It matches the Rfam family "Bacterial small subunit ribosomal RNA", at positions 524 to 776 of the family's 1533-position model. The record is from RNAcentral.
UACGUAGGGUGCAAGCGUUGUCCGGAAUUAUUGGGCGUAAAGAGCUCGUAGGCGGUUUGUUGCGUCGGCUGUGAAAUCCCGAGGCUCAACCUCGGGUCUGCAGUCGAUACGAGCAAACUAGAGUGUUGCAGGGGAGACUGGAAUUCCUGGUGUAGCGGUGAAAUGCGUAGAGAUCGGGAGGAACACCUGUGGCGAAGGCGGCUCGCUGGGCCGGUCCUGACGCUGAUGCGCGAAAGCGUGGGGAGCGAUCCGG